UUAAGUUCAGCGGGUAGUCCCGCCUGAUUCGAGGUCAAAGUUGAAAAAUAUCAUGAUGAUGAGUUAGAAGCAGCCCAAGGCAGGCUUGGCCAUCCCGAGAGAUGUCCUCAGCGGUCAUAAUUAUCACGCUGAGUAGAACCAAAUCCCACAACAAGGACCAGCUAAUACAUUUGAGACCAGCCGUUCCAGACAAGGAGACA
This 200-nucleotide unclassified non-coding RNA is filed under the name Cantharellales sp. RNAcentral's name for it is "partial internal transcribed spacer 2". The record is from RNAcentral. Lineage: Eukaryota; Fungi; Basidiomycota; Agaricomycetes; Cantharellales.